CAUAAUGCUCCGAGCGGUGGUUUCUAAGGACCCGAUGGCGUCUAUGAAAUCUCCGCCGCCGGCGGCGCUUUCCGUGCCGCCCCAGGGCUGACGCCGGAAACGGCGCAGCCUUCCAUCUUUGAAAAGGGGCC
This 131-nucleotide non-coding RNA is filed under the name human gut metagenome. RNAcentral's name for it is "Moco (molybdenum cofactor) riboswitch". It matches the Rfam family "Molybdenum/Tungsten riboswitch aptamer (Moco RNA motif)", at positions 12 to 120 of the family's 135-position model. The record is from RNAcentral.